This 115-nucleotide ribosomal RNA is filed under the name uncultured Cortinarius. RNAcentral's name for it is "partial 28S ribosomal RNA". It matches the Rfam family "Eukaryotic large subunit ribosomal RNA", at positions 1 to 116 of the family's 3401-position model. The record is from RNAcentral. Lineage: Eukaryota; Fungi; Basidiomycota; Agaricomycetes; Agaricales; Cortinariaceae.
GUGACCUCAAAUCAGGUAGGACUACCCGCUGAACUUAAGCAUAUCAAUAAGCGGAGGAAAAGAAACUAACAAGGAUUCCCCUAGUAACUGCGAGUGAAGCGGGAAGCUCAAAUUA